Long non-coding RNA from Anopheles stephensi (Asian malaria mosquito), 15266 nucleotides. RefSeq lists it as uncharacterized. The transcript is spliced from 5 exons. Lineage: Eukaryota; Metazoa; Arthropoda; Insecta; Diptera; Culicidae. The record is from RefSeq and is a predicted model, not a curated record.
CACGAGUCGGCAUUCGUAUUCCCGCCUCGCAGUAGGCCAAAGUAGAACAUUUUUUUUAGUUUCGAAAUAAAGGUCUACUGGCAAAAUCCGAUCCCUGCCUCCUCGUGGCGCUGCCGGAUGUCGGUCUUGGAGAGCCUUGCGCACUCUGUCAAGACCUAACCAAAGGGACGGUGCUGCUGUCUUGCAAUACUGAACAAAAGACAGUGGCAGGACCUAUGGACAUUAUUUGAACUUUUAAACAAUUCACAAAGCACAAAUUAAAUCAAGCAACGUGUUUUCUGUUUGUCCGCCAAUCUUAUAAUGACGAUAAUCUGUCAGUUUUUAUUAAACAUCCAGGUUUGUACAUCUAUUGAGCGCUGACGUUUAACGUUUGACAGUUGGCGUUCACCUACCAAAUCUUACGGUUUAUAUAAGUUUACAAACUGAAGGAAGACUUGCAACUUCCUGCAAACAAUAACAAAAGGUCUUGCGCGUUCGGUCCUAGAGAUAAUUACACCAAGCAUCAGCUUUGGCGUCUUGGGACCAAUGCUAUGGGCCUGGAGUGUAAGAUCUCAACGUUGGAGAAUGGGCUACCCAAGAGCCCAGCGGAGUGCUGUGCAUCGGGAUUCGGCAAUGGAAUCUUGGAGCCAUUGCUAUUGGCCCGAACGCAAGCUUCAAAGGAGGUUGUGGACGUCCAAGCGUCCUGCUAGAGGAAUUAUGUGCUGUGCAGAAAUACGGGAUGGGGGCUGGUAUGGUAAGCACGAACGCAUAAUUGUUGUUGCAUGUAACCGAGGUCUUUUGGACGGGGAAAAGAGAGAAUGGAGUGUGAGAUGAUCGUUAAACUGGAUGGAGAUUGGGAACCUCUAAUCCGGUGGCAAAUGAUCUGACUACAUUAAUCUAGAAAAUCCUUGUACCAGGAUCUUGCAAGACGGCAUCGUGGAACAAUCAUUGAUCUGCAGGGAGAUUGGGAACCUUCCUACCAGUAGCAUUUGAUUUGACCGCAAUGAUGGUGUUCAAGAUCCUUACACCAGGAUCGACAGAAGGGGGAUCGCGGAACGAUCAUUAAUCCGUUGGGAGAUUGGGAACCUCCUUAUAAAAGGCUAAUGAUCUGACUGCAAGAUCCGGGAGAUAAUUAUUACACCGGGCAUCAGCAUUGGCGUCUUGGGACCAAUGCUAUGGGCCUGGAGUGUAGGAUCUCAACGUUGGAGAAUGGGUUACCCAAGAGCCCAGCGAAGUGCUGUGCAUCGGGAUCAGGCUAUGGAAUCUUGGAGCCAUUGCUAUUGGCCCGAACGCAAGCUUCAAACGAGGUUGUGGACGUCCAAGCGUCCUGCUAGAGGAAUUAUGUGCUGUGCAGAAAUACGGGAUGGGGGCUGGUAUGGUAAGCACGAACGCAUAAUUGUUGUUGCAUGUAACCGAGGUCUUUUGGACGGGGAAAAGAGAGAAUGGAGUGUGAGAUGAUCGUUAAACUGGAUGGAGAUUGGGAACCUCUAAUCCGGUGGCAAAUGAUCUGACUACAUUAAUCUAGAAAAUCCUUGUACCAGGAUCUUGCAAGACGGCAUCGUGGAACAAUCAUUGAUCUGCAGGGAGAUUUGAACCUUCCUACCAGUAGCAUUUGAUUUGACCGCAAUGAUGGUGUUCAAGAUCCUUACACCAGGAUCGACAGAAGGGGAAUCGCGGAACGGUCAUUAAUCCGUUGGGAGAUUGGGAACCUCCUUAUAAAAGGCUAAUGAUCUGACCGCAAGAUCAGGGAGAUAAUUAUUACACUGGGCAUCAGCAUUGGAUUCUUGGGACCAAUGCUAUGGGCCUGGAGCGUACGAUCUCAACGUUGGAGAAUGGGCUACCCAAGAGCCCAGCGAAGUGCUAUGCAUCGGGAUUCGGCAAAGGAAUCUUGGAGCCAUUGCUAUUGGCCCGAACGCAAGCUUCAAAGGAGGUUGUGGACGUCCAAGCGUCCUGCUAGAGGAAUUAUGUGCUGUGCAGAAAUACUGGAUGGGGGCUGGUAUGGUAAGCACGAACGCAUAAUUGUCGUUGCAUGUAACCGAGGUCUUUUGGACGGGGAAAAGAGAGAAUGGAGUGUGAGAUGAUCGUUAAACUGGAUGGAGAUUGGGAACCUCUAAUCCAGUGGCAAAUGAUCUGACUACAUUAAUCUAGAAAAUCCUUGUACCAGGAUCAUUCAAGACGGCAUCGCGGAACAAUCAUUGAUCUGCAGGGAGAUUGGGAACCUUCCUACCAGUAGCAUUUGAUUUGACCGCAAUGAUGGUGUUCAAGAUCCUUACACCAGGAUCGACAGAAGGGGGAUCGCGGAACGAUCAUUAAUCCGUUGGGAGAUUGGGAACCUCCUUAUAAAAGGCUAAUGAUCUGACUGCAAGAUCAGGGAGAUAAUUAUUACACCGGGCAUCAGCAUUGGAUUCUUGGGACCCAUGCUAUGGGCCUGGAGUGUAGGAUCUCAACGUUGGAGGAUGGGCUACCCAAGAGCCCAGCGGAGUGCUGUGCAUCGGGAUUCGGCAAAGGAAUCUUGGAGCCAUUGCUAUUGGCCCGAACGCAAGCUUCAAAGGUGGUUGUGGACGGCCAAGCGUCCUGCUAGAGGAAUUAUGUGCUGUGCAGAAAUACUGGAUGGGGGCUGGUAUGGUAAGCACGAACGCAUAAUUGUUGUUGCAUGUAACCGAGGUCUUUUGGACUGGGAAAAGAGAGAAUGGAGUGUGAGAUGAUCGUUAAACUGGAUGGAGAUUGGGAACCUCUAAUCCGGUGGCAAAUGAUCUGACUACAUUAAUCUAGAAAAUCCUUGUACCAGGAGCAUGUAAGACGGCAUCGCGGAACAAUCAUUGAUCUGCAGGGAGAUUGGGAACCUUCCUACCAGUAGCAUUUGAUUUGACCGCAAUGAUGGUGUUCAAGAUCCUUACACCAGGAUCGACAGAAGGGGGAUCGCGGAACGAUCAUUAAUCCGUUGGGAGAUUGGGAACCUCCUUAUAAAAGGCUAAUGAUCUGACUGCAAGAUCCGGGAGAUAAUUAUUACACCGGGCAUCAGCAUUGGAUUCUUGGGACCCAUGCUAUGGGCCUGGAUUGUAGGAUCUCAACGUUGGAGGAUGGGCUACCCAAGAGCCCAGCGGAGUGCUGUGCAUCGGGAUUCGGCAAAGGAAUCUUGGAGCCAUUGCUAUUGGCCCGAACGCAAGCUUCAAAGGUGGUUGUGGACGGCCAAGCGUUCAUAGAGGAGGGUGUACAUCGUGCUACAAUACUUCACCAGGGCACUGGUAUUGUUGGCUCUUACCUCGGGUUUUGUAAGCUCGUGUUAUGAAAAUGCCUGGAUCGUGCGCAUUGAGUGCGAUUUAAAUAAAAAUAUAAAAAAUCAAAAAAAAGAAGGAAGAAGGAGAAAAACAGGAGUUACGUUGAAUGGACGAGGGAAGAUUCUAUGAUUCUUCGGUUCAUAAGAUAGUUUCGCUAUGGGUAUCAGCGUUGGCGUCUUGGGACCCAUGCUAUGGGCCUGGAGUGUAGGAUCUCAACGUUGGAGGAUGGGCUACCCAAGAGCCCAGCGGAGUGCUGUGCAUCGGGAUCAGGAUAUGGAAUCUUGGAGUCAUUGCUAUUGGCCCGAACGCAAGCUUCAAAGGUGGUUGUGGACGUCCAAGCGUCCUGCUAGAGGAAUUAUGUGCUGGGCAGAAAUACUGGAUGGGGGCUGGUAUGGUAAGCACGAACGCAUAAUUGUCGUUGCAUGUAACCGAGGUCUUUUGGACGGGGAAAAGAGAGAAUGGAGUGUGAGAUGAUCGUUAAACUGGAUGGAGAUUGGGAACCUCUAAUCCGGUGGCAAAUGAUCUGACUACAUUAAUCUAGAAAAUCCUUGUACCAGGAUCAUUCAAGACGGCAUCGCGGAACAAUCAUUGAUCUGCAGGGAGAUUGGGAACCUUCCUACCAGUAGCAUUUGAUUUGACCGCAAUGAUGGUGUUCAAGAUCCUUACACCAGGAUCGACAGAAGGGGGAUCGCGGAACGAUCAUUAGUCCUUUGGGAGAUUGGGAACCUCCUUAUAAAAGGCUAAUGAUCUGACUGCAAGAUCCAGGAGAUAAUUAUUACACCGGGCAUCAGCAUUGGAUUCUUGGGACCCAUGCUAUGGGCCUGGAGUGUAGGAUCUCAACGUUGGAGGAUGGGCUACCCAAGAGCCCAGCGGAGUGCUGUGCAUCGGGAUCAGGCUAUGGAAUCUUGGAGUCAUUGCUAUUGGCCCGAACGCAAGCUUCAAAGGUGGUUGUGGACGUCCAAGCGUCCUGCUAGAGGAAUUAUGUGCUGGGCAGAAAUACUGGAUGGGGGCUGGUAUGGUAAGCACGAACGCAUAAUUGUCGUUGCAUGUAACCGAGGUCUUUUGGACGGGGAAAAGAGAGAAUGGAGUGUGAGAUGAUCGUUAAACUGGAUGGAGAUUGGGAACCUCUAAUCCGGUGGCAAAUGAUCUGACUACAUUAAUCUAGAAAAUCCUUGUACCAGGAUCUUGCAAGACGGCAUCGUGGAACAAUCAUUGAUCUGCAGGGAGAUUGGGAACCUUCCUACCAGUAGCAUUUGAUUUGACCGCAAUGAUGGUGUUCAAGAUCCUUACACCAGGAUCGACAGAAGGGGGAUCGCGGAACGAUCAUUAAUCUGUUGGGAGAUUGGGAACCUCCUUAUAAAAGGCUAAUGAUCUGACUGCAAGAUCAGGGAGAUAAUUAUUACACCGGGCAUCAGCAUUGGAUUCUUGGGACCCAUGCUAUGGGCCUGGAGUGUAGGAUCUCAACGUUGGAGGAUGGGCUACCCAAGAGCCCAGCGGAGUGCUGUGCAUCGGGAUUCGGCAAAGGAAUCUUGGAGCCAUUGCUAUUGGCCCGAACGCAAGCUUCAAAGGUGGUUGUGGACGGCCAAGCGUUCAUAGAGGAGGGUGUACAUCGUGCUACAAUACUUCACCAGGGCACUGGUAUUGUUGGCUCUUACCUCGGGUUUUGUAAGCUCGUGUUAUGAAAAUGCCUGGAUCGUGCGCAUUGAGUGCGAUUUAAAUAAAAAUAUAAAAAAUCAAAAAAAAGAAGGAAGAAGGAGAAAAACAGGAGUUACGUUGAAUGGACGAGGGAAGAUUCUAUGAUUCUUCGGUUCAUAAGAUAGUUUCGCUAUGGGUAUCAGCGUUGGCGUCUUGGGACCAAUGCUAUGGGCCUGGAGCGUACGAUCUCAACGUUGGAGAAUGGGCUACCCAAGAGCCCAGCGAAGUGCUAUGCAUCGGGAUUCGGCAAAGGAAUCUUGGAGCCAUUGCUAUUGGCCCGAACGCAAGCUUCAAAGGAGGUUGUGGACGUCCAAGCGUCCUGCUAGAGGAAUUAUGUGCUGUGCAGAAAUACUGGAUGGGGGCUGGUAUGGUAAGCACGAACGCAUAAUUGUUGUUGCAUUUAACCGAGGUCUUUUGGACUGGGAAAAGAGAGAAUGGAGUGUGAGAUGAUCGUUAAACUGGAUGGAGAUUGGGAACCUCUAAUCCGGUGGCAAAUGAUCUGACUACAUUAAUCUAGAAAAUCCUUGUACCAGGAGCAUGUAAGACGGCAUCGCGGAACAAUCAUUGAUCUGCAGGGAGAUUGGGAACCUUCCUACCAGUAGCAUUUGAUUUGACCGCAAUGAUGGUGUUCAAGAUCCUUACACCAGGAUCGACAGAAGGGGGAUCGCGGAACGAUCAUUAAUCCGUUGGGAGAUUGGGAACCUCCUUAUAAAAGGCUAAUGAUCUGACUGCAAGAUCAGGGAGAUAAUUAUUACACCGGGCAUCAGCAUUGGAUUCUUGGGACCCAUGCUAUGGGCCUGGAGUGUAGGAUCUCAACGUUGGAGGAUGGGCUACCCAAGAGCCCAGCGGAGUGCUGUGCAUCGGGAUUCGGCAAAGGAAUCUUGGAGCCAUUGCUAUUGGCCCGAACGCAAGCUUCAAAGGUGGUUGUGGACGGCCAAGCGUUCAUAGAGGAGGGUGUACAUCGUGCUACAAUACUUCACCAGGGCACUGGUAUUGUUGGCUCUUACCUCGGGUUUUGUAAGCUCGUGUUAUGAAAAUGCCUGGAUCGUGCGCAUUGAGUGCGAUUUAAAUAAAAAUAUAAAAAAUCAAAAAAAAAGAAGGAAGAAGGAGAAAAACAGGAGUUACGUUGAAUGGACGAGGGAAGAUUCUAUGAUUCUUCGGUUCAUAAGAUAGUUUCGCUAUGGGUAUCAGCGUUGGCGUCUUGGGACCAAUGCUAUGGGCCUGGAGCGUACGAUCUCAACGUUGGAGAAUGGGCUACCCAAGAGCCCAGCGAAGUGAUGUGCAGCGGGAUCAGGCUAUGGAAUCUUGGAGCCAUUGCUAUUGGCCCGAACGCAAGCUUCAAAGGAGGUUGUGGACGUCCAAGCGUCCUGCUAGAGGAAUUAUGUGCUGUGCAGAAAUACUGGAUGGGGGCUGGUAUGGUAAGCACGAACGCAUAAUUGUCGUUGCAUGUAACCGAGGUCUUUUGGACUGGGAAAAGAGAGAAUGGAGUGUGAGAUGAUCGUUAAACUGGAUGGAGAUUGGGAACCUCUAAUCCAGUGGCAAAUGAUCUGACUACAUUAAUCUAGAAAAUCCUUGUACCAGGAGCAUGGAAGACGGCAUCGCGGAACAAUCAUUGAUCUGCAGGGAGAUUGGGAACCUUCCUACCAGUAGCAUUUGAUUUGACCGCAAUGAUGGUGUUCAAGAUCCUUACACCAGGAUCGACAGAAGGGGGAUCGCGGAACGAUCAUUAGUCCUUUGGGAGAUUGGGAACCUCCUUAUAAAAGGCUAAUGAUCUGACUGCAAGAUCAGGGAGAUAAUUAUUACACCGGGCAUCAGCAUUGGAUUCUUGGGACCCAUGCUAUGGGCCUGGAGUGUAGGAUCUCAACGUUGGAGGAUGGGCUACCCAAGAGCCCAGCGGAGUGCUGUGCAUCGGGAUUCGGCAAAGGAAUCUUGGAGCCAUUGCUAUUGGCCCGAACGCAAGCUUCAAAGGUGGUUGUGGACGGCCAAGCGUUCAUAGAGGAGGGUGUACAUCGUGCUACAAUACUUCACCAGGGCACUGGUAUUGUUGGCUCUUACCUCGGGUUUUGUAAGCUCGUGUUAUGAAAAUGCCUGGAUCGUGCGCAUUGAGUGCGAUUUAAAUAAAAAUAUAAAAAAUCAAAAAAAAGAAGGAAGAAGGAGAAAAACAGGAGUUACGUUGAAUGGACGAGGGAAGAUUCUAUGAUUCUUCGGUUCAUAAGAUAGUUUCGCUAUGGGUAUCAGCGUUGGCGUCUUGGGACCAAUGCUAUGGGCCUGGAGCGUACGAUCUCAACGUUGGAGAAUGGGCUACCCAAGAGCCCAGCGAAGUGAUGUGCAGCGGGAUCAGGCUAUGGAAUCUUGGAGCCAUUGCUAUUGGCCCGAACGCAAGCUUCAAAGGAGGUUGUGGACGUCCAAGCGUCCUGCUAGAGGAAUUAUGUGCUGGGCAGAAAUACUGGAUGGGGGCUGGUAUGGUAAGCAGGAACGCAUAAUUGUUGUUGCAUUUAACCGAGGUCUUUUGGACGGGGAAAAGAGAGAAUGGAGUGUGAGAUGAUCGUUAAACUGGAUGGAGAUUGGGAACCUCUAAUCCGGUGGCAAAUGAUCUGACUACAUUAAUCUAGAAAAUCCUUGUACCAGGAGCAUGUAAGACGGCAUCGCGGAACAAUCAUUGAUCUGCAGGGAGAUUGGGAACCUUCCUACCAGUAGCAUUUGAUUUGACCGCAAUGAUGGUGUUCAAGAUCCUUACACCAGGAUCGACAGAAGGGGGAUCGCGGAACGAUCAUUAGUCCUUUGGGAGAUUGGGAACCUCCUUAUAAAAGGCUAAUGAUCUGACUGCAAGAUCAGGGAGAUAAUUAUUACACCGGGCAUCAGCAUUGGAUUCUUGGGACCCAUGCUAUGGGCCUGGAGUGUAGGAUCUCAACGUUGGAGGAUGGGCUACCCAAGAGCCCAGCGGAGUGCUGUGCAUCGGGAUUCGGCAAAGGAAUCUUGGAGCCAUUGCUAUUGGCCCGAACGCAAGCUUCAAAGGUGGUUGUGGACGGCCAAGCGUUCAUAGAGGAGGGUGUACAUCGUGCUACAAUACUUCACCAGGGCACUGGUAUUGUUGGCUCUUACCUCGGGUUUUGUAAGCUCGUGUUAUGAAAAUGCCUGGAUCGUGCGCAUUGAGUGCGAUUUAAAUAAAAAUAUAAAAAAUCAAAAAAAAAGAAGGAAGAAGGAGAAAAACAGGAGUUACGUUGAAUGGACGAGGGAAGAUUCUAUGAUUCUUCGGUUCAUAAGAUAGUUUCGCUAUGGGUAUCAGCGUUGGCGUCUUGGGACCAAUGCUAUGGGCCUGGAGCGUACGAUCUCAACGUUGGAGAAUGGGCUACCCAAGAGCCCAGCGAAGUGAUGUGCAGCGGGAUCAGGCUAUGGAAUCUUGGAGCCAUUGCUAUUGGCCCGAACGCAAGCUUCAAAGGAGGUUGUGGACGUCCAAGCGUCCUGCUAGAGGAAUUAUGUGCUGUGCAGAAAUACUGGAUGGGGGCUGGUAUGGUAAGCACGAACGCAUAAUUGUCGUUGCAUGUAACCGAGGUCUUUUGGACGGGGAAAAGAGAGAAUGGAGUGUGAGAUGAUCGUUAAACUGGAUGGAGAUUGGGAACCUCUAAUCCAGUGGCAAAUGAUCUGACUACAUUAAUCUAGAAAAUCCUUGUACCAGGAUCAUUCAAGACGGCAUCGCGGAACAAUCAUUGAUCUGCAGGGAGAUUGGGAACCUUCCUACCAGUAGCAUUUGAUUUGACCGCAAUGAUGGUGUUCAAGAUCCUUACACCAGGAUCGACAGAAGGGGGAUCGCGGAACGAUCAUUAGUCCUUUGGGAGAUUGGGAACCUCCUUAUAAAAGGCUAAUGAUCUGACUGCAAGAUCCAGGAGAUAAUUAUUACACCGGGCAUCAGCAUUGGAUUCUUGGGACCCAUGCUAUGGGCCUGGAGUGUAGGAUCUCAACGUUGGAGGAUGGGCUACCCAAGAGCCCAGCGGAGUGCUGUGCAUCGGGAUCAGGCUAUGGAAUCUUGGAGUCAUUGCUAUUGGCCCGAACGCAAGCUUCAAAGGUGGUUGUGGACGUCCAAGCGUCCUGCUAGAGGAAUUAUGUGCUGGGCAGAAAUACUGGAUGGGGGCUGGUAUGGUAAGCACGAACGCAUAAUUGUCGUUGCAUGUAACCGAGGUCUUUUGGACGGGGAAAAGAGAGAAUGGAGUGUGAGAUGAUCGUUAAACUGGAUGGAGAUUGGGAACCUCUAAUCCGGUGGCAAAUGAUCUGACUACAUUAAUCUAGAAAAUCCUUGUACCAGGAGCAUGUAAGACGGCAUCGCGGAACAAUCAUUGAUCUGCAGGGAGAUUGGGAACCUUCCUACCAGUAGCAUUUGAUUUGACCGCAAUGAUGGUGUUCAAGAUCCUUACACCAGGAUCGACAGAAGGGGGAUCGCGGAACGAUCAUUAAUCCGUUGGGAGAUUGGGAACCUCCUUAUAAAAGGCUAAUGAUCUGACUGCAAGAUCAGGGAGAUAAUUAUUACACCGGGCAUCAGCAUUGGAUUGUUGGGACCCAUGCUAUGGGCCUGGAGUGUAGGAUCUCAACGUUGGAGGAUGGGCUACCCAAGAGCCCAGCGGAGUGCUGUGCAUCGGGAUUCGGCAAAGGAAUCUUGGGGCCAUUGCUAUUGGCCCGAACGCAAGCUUCAAAGGUGGUUGUGGACGGCCAAGCGUUCAUAGAGGAGGGUGUACAUCGUGCUACAAUACUUCACCAGGGCACUGGUAUUGUUGGCUCUUACCUCGGGUUUUGUAAGCUCGUGUUAUGAAAAUGCCUGGAUCGUGCGCAUUGAGUGCGAUUUAAAUAAAAAUAUAAAAAAUCAAAAAAAAGAAGGAAGAAGGAGAAAAACAGGAGUUACGUUGAAUGGACGAGGGAAGAUUCUAUGAUUCUUCGGUUCAUAAGAUAGUUUCGCUAUGGGUAUCAGCGUUGGCGUCUUGGGACCAAUGCUAUGGGCCUGGAGCGUACGAUCUCAACGUUGGAGAAUGGGCUACCCAAGAGCCCAGCGAAGUGCUGUGCAUCGGGAUCAGGCUAUGGAAUCUUGGAGUCAUUGCUAUUGGCCCGAACGCAAGCUUCAAAGGAGGUUGUGGACGUCCAAGCGUCCUGCUAGAGGAAUUAUGUGCUGUGCAGAAAUACUGGAUGGGGGCUGGUAUGGUAAGCACGAACGCAUAAUUGUCGUUGCAUGUAACCGAGGUCUUUUGGACGGGGAAAAGAGAGAAUGGAGUGUGAGAUGAUCGUUAAACUGGAUGGAGAUUGGGAACCUCUAAUCCAGUGGCAAAUGAUCUGACUACAUUAAUCUAGAAAAUCCUUGUACCAGGAUCAUUCAAGACGGCAUCGCGGAACAAUCAUUGAUCUGCAGGGAGAUUGGGAACCUUCCUAUCAGUAGCAUUUGAUUUGACCGCAAUGAUGGUGUUCAAGAUCCUUACACCAGGAUCGACAGAAGGGGGAUCGCGGAACGAUCAUUAGUCCUUUGGGAGAUUGGGAACCUCCUUAUAAAAGGCUAAUGAUCUGACUGCAAGAUCCAGGAGAUAAUUAUUACACCGGGCAUCAGCAUUGGAUUCUUGGGACCCAUGCUAUGGGCCUGGAGUGUAGGAUCUCAACGUUGGAGGAUGGGCUACCCAAGAGCCCAGCGGAGUGCUGUGCAUCGGGAUCAGGCUAUGGAAUCUUGGAGUCAUUGCUAUUGGCCCGAACGCAAGCUUCAAAGGUGGUUGUGGACGUCCAAGCGUCCUGCUAGAGGAAUUAUGUGCUGGGCAGAAAUACUGGAUGGGGGCUGGUAUGGUAAGCACGAACGCAUAAUUGUCGUUGCAUGUAACCGAGGUCUUUUGGACGGGGAAAAGAGAGAAUGGAGUGUGAGAUGAUCGUUAAACUGGAUGGAGAUUGGGAACCUCUAAUCCGGUGGCAAAUGAUCUGACUACAUUAAUCUAGAAAAUCCUUGUACCAGGAUCAUUCAAGACGGCAUCGCGGAACAAUCAUUGAUCUGCAGGGAGAUUGGGAACCUUCCUACCAGUAGCAUUUGAUUUGACCGCAAUGAUGGUGUUCAAGAUCCUUACACCAGGAUCGACAGAAGGGGGAUCGCGGAACGAUCAUUAGUCCUUUGGGAGAUUGGGAACCUCCUUAUAAAAGGCUAAUGAUCUGACUGCAAGAUCCAGGAGAUAAUUAUUACACCGGGCAUCAGCAUUGGAUUCUUGGGACCCAUGCUAUGGGCCUGGAGUGUAGGAUCUCAACGUUGGAGGAUGGGCUACCCAAGAGCCCAGCGGAGUGCUGUGCAUCGGGAUCAGGCUAUGGAAUCUUGGAGUCAUUGCUAUUGGCCCGAACGCAAGCUUCAAAGGUGGUUGUGGACGUCCAAGCGUCCUGCUAGAGGAAUUAUGUGCUGGGCAGAAAUACUGGAUGGGGGCUGGUAUGGUAAGCACGAACGCAUAAUUGUCGUUGCAUGUAACCGAGGUCUUUUGGACGGGGAAAAGAGAGAAUGGAGUGUGAGAUGAUCGUUAAACUGGAUGGAGAUUGGGAACCUCUAAUCCGGUGGCAAAUGAUCUGACUACAUUAAUCUAGAAAAUCCUUGUACCAGGAGCAUGUAAGACGGCAUCGCGGAACAAUCAUUGAUCUGCAGGGAGAUUGGGAACCUUCCUACCAGUAGCAUUUGAUUUGACCGCAAUGAUGGUGUUCAAGAUCCUUACACCAGGAUCGACAGAAGGGGGAUCGCGGAACGAUCAUUAAUCCGUUGGGAGAUUGGGAACCUCCUUAUAAAAGGCUAAUGAUCUGACUGCAAGAUCAGGGAGAUAAUUAUUACACCGGGCAUCAGCAUUGGAUUCUUGGGACCCAUGCUAUGGGCCUGGAGUGUAGGAUCUCAACGUUGGAGGAUGGGCUACCCAAGAGCCCAGCGGAGUGCUGUGCAUCGGGAUUCGGCAAAGGAAUCUUGGAGCCAUUGCUAUUGGCCCGAACGCAAGCUUCAAAGGAGGUUGUGGACGUCCAAGCGUCCUGCUAGAGGAAUUAUGUGCUGUGCAGAAAUACUGGAUGGGGGCUGGUAUGGUAAGCACGAACGCAUAAUUGUUGUUGCAUGUAACCGAGGUCUUUUGGACUGGGAAAAGAGAGAAUGGAGUGUGAGAUGAUCGUUAAACUGGAUGGAGAUUGGGAACCUCUAAUCCGGUGGCAAAUGAUCUGACUACAUUAAUCUAGAAAAUCCUUGUACCAGGAGCAUGUAAGACGGCGUCGUGGAACAAUCAUUGAUCUGCAGGGAGAUUGGGAACCUUCCUACCAGUAGCAUUUGAAUUGACCGCAAUGAUGGUGUUCAAGAUCCUUACACCAGGAUCGACAGAAGGGGGAUCGCGGAACGAUCAUUAGUCCUUUGGGAGAUUGGGAACCUCCUUAUAAAAGGCUAAUGAUCUGACUGCAAGAUCAGGGAGAUAAUUACACCGGGCAUCAGCGUUGGCGUCUUGGGACCAAUGCUAUGGGCCUGGAGCGUACGAUCUCAACGUUGGAGAAUGGGCUACCCAAGAGCCCAGCGAAGUGCUGUGCAUCGGGAUCAGGCUAUGGAAUCUUGGAGUCAUUGCUAUUGGCCCGAACGCAAGCUUCAAAGGAGGUUGUGGACGUCCAAGCGUCCUGCUAGAGGAAUUAUGUGCUGUGCAGAAAUACUGGAUGGGGGCUGGUAUGGUAAGCACGAACGCAUAAUUGUUGUUGCAUGUAACCGAGGUCUUUUGGACUGGGAAAAGAGAGAAUGGAGUGUGAGAUGAUCGUUAAACUGGAUGGAGAUUGGGAACCUCUAAUCCGGUGGCAAAUGAUCUGACUACAUUAAUCUAGAAAAUCCUUGUACCAGGAGCAUGUAAGACGGCGUCGUGGAACAAUCAUUGAUCUGCAGGGAGAUUGGGAACCUUCCUACCAGUAGCAUUUGAAUUGACCGCAAUGAUGGUGUUCAAGAUCCUUACACCAGGAUCGACAGAAGGGGGAUCGCGGACGAUCAUUAGUCCUUUGGGAGAUUGGGAACCUCCUUAUAAAAGGCUAAUGAUCUGACCGCAAGAUCCGGGAGACAAUUAUUACACCGGGCAUCAGCAUUGGAUUCUUGGGACCCAUGCUAUGGGCCUGGAGUGUAGGAUCUCAACGUUGGAGGAUGGGCGACCCAAGAGCCCAGCGGAGUGCUGUGCAUCGGGAUUCGGCAAAGGAAUCUUGGAGCCAUUGCUAUUGGCCCGAACGCAAGCUUCAAAGGUGGUUGUGGAAGGCCAAGCGUUCAGAGAGGAGGGUGUACAUCGUGCUACAAUACUUCACCAGGGCACUGGUAUUGUUGGCUCUUACCUCGGGUUUUGUAAGCUCGUGUUAUGAAACUGCCUAGAUCGUGCGCAUUGAGUGCGAUUAAAAUAAAAAUAUUUUAAAAAAAUCAAAAAAAAGAAGGAAGAAGGAGAAAAUCAAAAAUUUGUUGGAGUGGAAAAAUGACAUAAGAAUCGAGGGCAGGAAUAAGAAACAAAUAGGAAAAUAUCAGGUGUGAAACUAAAUGUUCAUCAAUAGAGAAAACUUCACUUCUUCAUUUGCAUUUGCCGGACAAUUUGAGAAGCUUACCUAUGCUAUGCAUGAUUACGUUUGAAAUGUUGCGCCCAAAAUUGUUUAGUCCAAUAUGCUCCCUUACAGUGUUCGACCUAGCUUGUCCUGCUGUUGUUGCUUUGUAGAAAGAUUGUCGGAUUAUGUUAUGCACUGAUCUGUUCUACCUUCGAAAACUAAAACCAACAACAAACGACGAAAAUCACAUAAAUGGGAAACAUAGUGUUGUAUCAACACCAAAACGUCUAACUAUACCAAAGGUUUCAUCAAGCAACGGCUUAUCUGCGUUAGUAAUACCUUUCAACUCGGCAGUUUUCUUUAUUUGUCGGUAACAUCUGGUGUUUAGUUAACUGGUUAACCGGUCUUAAUUACUCUUUCAUUACAACUGAAAUGCACUAUAAUCAGCAAAUCCGUUAAAAGUAACAACAUUGUGCCAAAACAACUGUCUUUAGAAGAACGGUUUUUGCCUAAACUGAGGAGAAUUAGGAUUGUGAUGAAUGACAAUAGAUUAGAAUAGCAAGAAGCAGUGCAGAUCGCCACGGAAGAAGCUCCUCCAUCCAGCUCAAUCAAAUAUACGCCUCAAGAACAGCAUGUCCUGCCCUUCGUGAACGCGAGUCGCUAUUGCGAAUGAGAAAAGCCUAUGCGAACGCUGAUUCUAUUUAUGAUUCUAUAACUGGAACACCAAAUACGAGUCCGCACGAACGUCUAUAACGGCAUGAGAAUGUGAACGGGAUUGGUGCAAAAUUACCUAACUGGUGACUUAAGCUUUUCAAAACCCAUCGAAUGAAGCCCUAUUGCAGUGAAUGCUUCGUCGUACUGCAAAACGGUGUAUCAUCGUAGCCUGUGUGGACAGUGCUGCUGCAUGAUCGCGCCGGUGUUAAGAGUUCAAAUGAGUCCACGUGAUUAAAAAUGGUUGGGAAGCUCUGUAUCGUAAAACAACACAAAAUACAGUGCUUGGAUAUAAAAAUCAAGCCUACCCCAAGAGUAUCCAGAGAAGAACCACGCGAAACUGUAUAGAACACUCGAACUGAAGCACCUCCUGAUCAAAAUUCGGCAUUGUCACUGCCUCCAGUAGUUCUGUAAAGAGUUAUUCGGAAGCAGAAGCAGGACUUGUGGAAGUGGUGAGCACAAAGAGCAUGUGAAGAAGUAUGUUCCCCAGAUGGCAGUCCGCAAAGUUUACGAACCGGGAGUGAAGCUUCACUCGAACGCUGCACAGCACCCUUGUUCACGAUUCAUCUGUUCUACUCAGUGUUGGAAAACAGUUUAAAAAAAAAUCACACCUUCAAGCGUUGGAGUUAAUAACUUAAAAGGUCAACUCGAGUACAAAAAAUUUAAACUGUUACCCGCACAACCUCACCAACGACGACGACGACUUGCCGUGCAUGAAAUGGCAGACGAUGAUGUUUUUGAGUUGUAAGCUACGUUUUAGAAGUGUUCGCUAACCGGAUGAUUCAAAUAACCGGACAAAUGAAGAAAAUGGCGGUUUGAAAAGAGAUCUAGGAGGAAGAAAGGGAAUAGAUGAGUAGCGCAGCAUAAUUAUGGUUUUCCGACAUGAUGUUUUUUUUAUAGAAUACACUUAAUUUCAAAUUUGAGAUACAAGAUAAGCAGGUAUAUUCAUUCUAAUUGCGACAAUCCUAAAUGCAAGUAAAAACAGAUAAUGGCAGGUUGAACUAAGAUAAUUUGAUGUUCCUAAAAGGCGCGCAGGCCAUUUAUUUCGAAUUCAAUAAAGAUGUUGUGAAGAAUGAUGGGCAAGGAAUUGAA